RNAcentral lists this ribosomal RNA (1905 nucleotides) under human gut metagenome. RNAcentral's name for it is "bacterial LSU rRNA". It matches the Rfam family "Bacterial large subunit ribosomal RNA", at positions 1 to 1985 of the family's 2925-position model. The record is from RNAcentral.
UGAAGUAAGUAAGGGCGUACGGUGAAUGCCUUGGUGCCAACAGGCGAAGAAGGACGCGGCAAGCUGCGAAAAACCUCGGGAAGCUGCAAGCAAGCGAUGAUCCGGGGGUAUCCGAAUGGGGUAACCUGAUCGAGGCAAUACUCGAUCGUUCAUACCUGAAUACAUAGGGUAUGAAACGCGAAACCCGCUGAAGUGAAACAUCUCAGUAAGCGGAGGAAAAGAAAGAGAAAUCGAUUCCGUAAGUAGUGGCGAGCGAAAGCGGAUGGAGCCCAAACCGAAGGUACUCCUUCGGGGUUGUAGGACCACGACAUAUUCGACCAUACUGGAUAGUAGAACAGCCUGGAAAGGCUGGCCAUAGAAGGUGAAAGCCCUGUAGACGAAAUCCAGAGUGGGAAUUAGUGGAAUCCUGAGUAAUACAUCACACGUGGAACGAUGUAUGAAUCCGCGCGGACCACCGCGCAAGGCUAAAUACUAGUUGGCGACCGAUAGUGAACAAGUACCGCGAGGGAAAGGUGAAAAGAACCGCUGUGAGCGGAGUGAAAUAGAACCUGAAACCGUAUGUCUACAAAGUGUCAGAGCAGAGCGAUCUGCGAUGGCGUGCCUUUUGUUUAAUGAGUCUGCGAGUCAGUGUUUGUGGCAAGACUAAGGGCUUCCGGCCCGGAGUCGCAGCGAAAGCAAGUCCGAAUAGGGCGAAUCAAGUCGCAGGUACUGGACCCGAAGCGGAGGUGACCUACCCUUGGCCAGGUUGAAGCAUGGGUAAAACCAUGUGGAGGACCGAACAGGUGAACGUUGAAAAGUUCUCUGAUGAGCUGAGGGUAGGAGUGAAAGGCUAAUCAAACCCCGUGAUAGCUGGUUCUCUUCGAAAUGCAUUUAGGUGCAGCGUCACGUGCUGAUGCGCGGGGGUAGAGCACUGACAAGGCUAGGGGGCACACCCGCUUACCAAACCUUAUCAAACUCCGAAUACCGUGCAAUGGAACGUGGCAGUGAGACAGUGGGGGAUAAGCUUCAUUGUCGAGAGGGAAACAACCCAGACCAGCAGCUAAGGUGCCUAAAUAACGCUCAGUGGAAAGGAUGUGGGAUUACACAGACAGUGAGGAUGUUGGCUUAGAAGCAGCCACCAUUUAAAAAAUGCGUAAUAGCUUACUCAUCGAGUGAUCCUGCGCCGAAAAUGAUUGGCGAUCAAGCGUUAUACCGAAGCUCUGGACUUUGCCGCAAGGCAGAGUGGUAGAAGAGCGUUGCAUGCGCAUUGAAGGGUGAUGGCGACUGACCCUGGAGCGCAUGCAAGUGAGUAUGCAGACAUGAGUAACGUAAAGCCGGGUGAAAUCCCCGGCCGCCGUAAACCCGAGGUUUCCAGGGCAACGUGUUUCGUCCCUGGGUUAGCCGGGACCUAAGCCGAGGCCGAGAGGCGUAGGCGAUGGACAUCAGGUUAAUAAUCCUGAGCUCGCGACCCUUAAACUGGGGGGACGCAUGAGAAAAGAUGACUAGGUUAUUGAAUUCCGAGUUGAGUCCACGGACUCAGCGCAUCAUUGGAUCGAGUGCCAAGAAAAGCCCCAGCGUAUGCUAAGCGACCCGUACCGCAAACCGACACAGGUGGGUGGGUAGAAUAUACCAAGGCGUAAGAGUGAAACCUGGUUAAGGAACUCGGCAAAUUAGCCCCGUAACUUCGGAAGAAGGGGUGCCUGCAGCGAUGCAGGCCGCAGAGAAAUGGCCCAACCGACUGUUUAUCAAAAACACAGCACUCUGCAAAGACGCAAGUCGAAGUAUAGGGUGUGACACGUGACCAAUGCCGAAAGAUUAAGGCAAGGGGUUAGCCGCAAGGCGAAGCUCUAAACCCAAGUCCCGGUGAAUGUCGGCCGUAACUAUAACGGUCCUAAGGUAGCGAAAUUCCUUGUCGGGUAAGUUCCG